CCUACGGGAGGCAGCAGUGAGGAAUAUUGGUCAAUGGACGAGAGUCUGAACCAGCCAAGUAGCGUGAAGGAUGACUGCCCUAUGGGUUGUAAACUUCUUUUAUAUGGGAAUAAAAUGUUCCACGUGUGGGUUUUUGUAUGUACCAUAUGAAUAAGGAUCGGCUAACUCCGUGCCAGCAGCCGCGGUAAUACGGAGGAUCCGAGCGUUAUCCGGAUUUAUUGGGUUUAAAGGGAGCGUAGGUGGGUUGUUAAGUCAGUUGUGAAAGUUUGCGGCUCAACCGUAAAAUUGCAGUUGAAACUGGCAGUCUUGAGUACAGUAGAGGUGGGCGGAAUGCGUGGUGUAGCGGUGAAAUGCUUAGAUAUCACGAAGAACUCCGAUUGCGAAGGCAGCUCACUGGACUGCAACUGACGUUGAGGCCCGAAAGCGUGGGGAGCAAACAGGAUUAGAUACCCGAGUAGUC
Molecule: ribosomal RNA, 460 nt
Filed under: uncultured bacterium
Lineage: Bacteria
Description: partial 16S ribosomal RNA
Rfam family: Bacterial small subunit ribosomal RNA
Source: RNAcentral